RNAcentral lists this unclassified non-coding RNA (307 nucleotides) under plant metagenome. RNAcentral's name for it is "partial contains 5.8S ribosomal RNA, internal transcribed spacer 2, and large subunit ribosomal RNA". The stretch from base 1 to 105 matches the Rfam family "5.8S ribosomal RNA", at positions 50 to 154 of the family's 154-position model. The record is from RNAcentral.
GAAAUGCGAUAAGUAGUGUGAAUUGCAGAAUUUAGCGAAUCAUCGAAUCUUUGAACGUACAUUGCGCCCCUUGGUAUUCCAUGGGGCAUGCCUGUUCGAGCGUCAUUUCAACCCUCAAGCACUGCUUGGUGUUGGGCGUUUGUCCCGCCUACGCGCGUGGACUCGCCUCAAAGUCAUUGGCGGCUGUUCCCCUUCGGCUCGUAAGCGCAGCACAGUCGGCGCCCGGAGCUCUGGUGGGAUGGCGUCCAGCAAGCUAUAUUUUCAGGCUUGACCUCGGAUCAGGUAGGGAUACCCGCUGAACUUAAGC